This 2101-nucleotide long non-coding RNA is filed under the name Brassica napus (rape). RNAcentral's name for it is "long non-coding RNA (BNAP_LNC013188)". The record is from RNAcentral. Lineage: Eukaryota; Viridiplantae; Streptophyta; Magnoliopsida; Brassicales; Brassicaceae.
AGUCGUCCGUCGCCCACGUGGCAGACCACCAGGUUCCAAAAACAAACCAAAACCACAAGUUUACGUCACACGCGACACUGAGCCUCCUAUGAGUCCUUACAUCCUCGAAGUACCUUCGGGAAACGACGUCGUUGAAGCCAUCAACCGCUUCUGCCGCAGAAAAUCCAUCGGCGUUUGCGUUCUCAGCGGCUCUGGCUCCGUCGCCAACAUCACCUUACGUCAGCCUUCUCCCGCAGCUCCUGGCUCAACUAUAACUUUCCACGGAAAGUUCGAUCUCCUCUCCGUCUCCCCUAAUACCUUCUCACUCUGUUUUGUUUUGUGUUUUUUUUUUCUUUGCUACACUCAUGGUGAUUACUUCCGAUCAUCUCCAAUAGAACACUAUUUUUUCUUUUAUAAUAGAGUUACUCUAUUUUAUUGUUAUAGAGGAUAAAAUAGUAUUCCAUUGGAGAUGAUCUAACAAAAUUUUGAUAUAUAUAUAUAAAUCAAAACAAAUAUUAACACGAUUGUACGGAUCGAGAUCUAGUAUAAUGUUAAUUCUACAUUUCUCGUGACAAUUCAACAGUUUUAAAACAAAUAUAGUACAUUAAUCAUGAAGGAGAAGAAAAUAACAAAUAACAGAUUAUUAUCUCAGCUCUGAAGAAAAUUGUUACGCAGUCAAAUAUCAACCAUAGCUGGAGUUAAAAGCAGGGCCGAAACUAAGCACAGCCACUUGAAACAUUGGUCAUGGCCUCUAAAAUUUUGAAAAGUUUUUUAUACAGACAUAGGCUUCUAAGUUAAGCAAAAAAAAUUUAUAAAAAUUCUUACAAAAAUGUUUUAAACUCCCGGAAUUUCAGAUCCCGUCUCCAAACACAGUUCUUAGGAUUACUUAUCGUGAGAUGCGUAACAUCAUUUUAUAAAACACAGAGGCAUGUAUGCUUAAAUCUCUGUUAAUCUCUCUGAAAUGUUUUCUUGUUUUUCUUUUUUUCCUUGGACUUGUUUCUUAAGGAUUACAACACUGUGAUUUCCUCUUUUCGGUUUAUAUGAUAUUAAUGUUUUAGCAAAAAAGAAAAGAGAUAACAGAUUACUAAAGAGUAAAAAUGAGGCGACCAAGGGAUAUAUGAAAGAGACAGAGCUGGUUCUUAGAAUGCUCCAGAUUUGGGAUAUGGGGGAUGUCUCUAUCUCUUUCUCAUCCCCACUUGUCUCCAAUCUUUUUUCUAUCUAGCAUUCAAAUCAAUUUCCAAAUCUUACUAAUCCAUGACUCAGACCAGAAAAAUAUUUUUUUCCUACUUAUCAUAUUUAAAUAAUCUAAUUUUUUUUUAUUUUCUCGGCAUAUGUAACAUUUUAAGCAGAUUCAUAUAUCUACUUAGAAAGUUUAACAAUAUUUUAAAUUAAAGUUGAAAAUAUAUUUAUACGAAAAGAGAAAGUGUGAACCCACAAACAUGGCACAGAAUCAAACAUAUAUAUCUUCGCUUUUAAUUCUCAGCUAGCGGCGCCGCUCUCUCUUUUCUUGCUUUCAAAGCUCAUCUUCCUUCUUCCCUAUCCUCUCAUUUUCCUCUUUCAUUUUUAUUUAUAUAUUACCAAAAGAGAAUACUUUUCCAUUUUAUAAUUUCUCCUUACCACAGUUGGAUUACGAAAGGUCCUCCCCUCCUCCAUAUCUUUCCAUUUUAUACAACCCAUACCAACCUCUUCAUACUCUUCUUCCUCCUUUUUAAUCAUUUACAUAAAAAUCCAAACCAAAAACUUGUAAUAAACAAAUCAUAAAAGAAAAGAAAAGAAAAAAAAUGAAAGGUGAAGGUAACGAGAUGUUUCCAAAGCUCCCUCAAAACCACUCACUCUCCUCUCACUUCCACCUCCCAGCAACCAUCGCCGUCGAUGACUCCUCCAUCGAAGUCGUCCGUCGCCCACGUGGCAGACCACCAGGUUCCAAAAACAAACCAAAACCACAAGUUUACGUCACACGCGACACUGAGCCUCCUAUGAGUCCUUACAUCCUCGAAGUACCUUCGGGAAACGAUGUCGUUGAAGCCAUCAACCGCUUCUGCCGCAGAAAAUCCAUCGGCGUGUGCGUUCUCAGCGGCUCUGGCUCCGUCGCCAACAUCACCUUACGUCAGCCUUCUCCCGC